GCAAGUCGAACGAACUCUGGUAUUGAUUGGUGCUUGCAUCAUGAUUUACAUUUGAGUGAGUGGCGAACUGGUGAGUAACACGUGGGAAACCUGCCCAGAAGCGGGGGAUAACACCUGGAAACAGAUGCUAAUACCGCAUAACAACUUGGACCGCAUGGUCCGAGUUUGAAAGAUGGCUUCGGCUAUCACUUCUGGAUGGUCCCGCGGCGUAUUAGCUAGAUGGUGAGGUAACGGCUCACCAUGGCAAUGAUACGUAGCCGACCUGAGAGGGUAAUCGGCCACAUUGGGACUGAGACACGGCCCAAACUCCUACGGGAGGCAGCAGUAGGGAAUCUUCCACAAUGGACGAAAGUCUGAUGGAGCAACGCCGCGUGAGUGAAGAAGGGUUUCGGCUCGUAAAACUCUGUUGUUAAAGAAGAACAUAUCUGAGAGUAACUGUUCAGGUAUUGACGGUAUUUAACCAGAAAGCCACGGCUAACUACGUGCCAGCAGCCGCGGUAAUACGUAGGUGGCAAGCGUUGUCCGGAUUUAUUGGGCGUAAAGCGAGCGCAGGCGGUUUUUUAAGUCUGAUGUGAAAGCCUUCGGCUCAACCGAAGAAGUGCAUCGGAAACUGGGAAACUUGAGUGCAGAAGAGGACAGUGGAACUCCAUGUGUAGCGGUGAAAUGCGUAGAUAUAUGGAAGAACACCAGUGGCGAAGGCGGCUGUCUGGUCUGUAACUGACGCUGAGGCUCGAAAGUAUGGGUAGCAAACAGGAUUAGAUACCCUGGUAGUCCAUACCGUAAACGAUGAAUGCUAAGUGUUGGAGGGUUUCCGCCCUUCAGUGCUGCAGCUAACGCAUUAAGCAUUCCGCCUGGGGAGUACGGCCGCAAGGCUGAAACUCAAAGGAAUUGACGGGGGCCCGCACAAGCGGUGGAGCAUGUGGUUUAAUUCGAAGCUACGCGAAGAACCUUACCAGGUCUUGACAUACUAUGCAAAUCUAAGAGAUUAGACGUUCCCUUCGGGGACAUGGAUACAGGUGGUGCAUGGUUGUCGUCAGCUCGUGUCGUGAGAUGUUGGGUUAAGUCCCGCAACGAGCGCAACCCUUAUUAUCAGUUGCCAGCAUUAAGUUGGGCACUCUGGUGAGACUGCCGGUGACAAACCGGAGGAAGGUGGGGAUGACGUCAAAUCAUCAUGCCCCUUAUGACCUGGGCUACACACGUGCUACAAUGGAUGGUACAACGAGUUGCGAACUCGCGAGAGUAAGCUAAUCUCUUAAAGCCAUUCUCAGUUCGGAUUGUAGGCUGCAACUCGCCUACAUGAAGUCGGAAUCGCUAGUAAUCGCGGAUCAGCAUGCCGCGGUGAAUACGUUCCCGGGCCUUGUACACACCGCCCGUCACACCAUGAGAGUUUGUAACACCCAAAGUCGGUGGGGUAACCUUUUAGGAACCAGCCGCCUAAGGU
RNAcentral lists this ribosomal RNA (1441 nucleotides) under Lactiplantibacillus plantarum. RNAcentral describes it as "bacterial SSU rRNA". It matches the Rfam family "Bacterial small subunit ribosomal RNA". The record is from RNAcentral. Lineage: Bacteria; Bacillati; Bacillota; Bacilli; Lactobacillales; Lactobacillaceae.